This 5341-nucleotide long non-coding RNA is filed under the name Sus scrofa (pig). RNAcentral's name for it is "lncRNA (ENSSSCG00050025109.1)". The record is from RNAcentral. Lineage: Eukaryota; Metazoa; Chordata; Mammalia; Artiodactyla; Suidae.
UGGAGCAGGACCCCGUGCAGCCUUCCUGGAACAGACCCUCCCCCAUAUCCUCUGCUUUAGUACCUGACUAUGCAGAUAAUAGUAUCCCAUGCACAUUUCCUGAGUCAUUUGACAGAUGCUAAAACCCCCACAAAAUGGAAGGAAUUAACUAUUUGAUGACCAUGAGCACGUGGUCUGCAGACGUACCAUUGGUAGGGAGCCCCUGUGACACUGCCCUGUUACCUCACCAUCAACCAAUCAGAUCACCAAGCCUGGACACCCCCCCCCACCCCAUCACCUGGCCUUUAAAAGUGCUUUGCUCAAACCCACCAGGGAGUUCGGGCCUUUUGAGCACUAGUCCCAGGGCUCUCACUUAGCUGCACUCUCUUUCCCCACCACCCCAUGUCAGUAGAUUGCCUUUACUGUGCAAGAGUGAGUGGAUCCAAGCUGAGCUCCAUUGCUGCAGCCACCUUUGGUCUACAUGCUCAGGACUCCCAAAUCUACUCCUCCAGUCCAGACCUCUCCGUGAAGUUUAGGCUCAUUUUUUUUUUUUAACUGCUUGCUAAACAAUUUCACCUGACCCCUUCCCAGUCGAUACCUUUCAGCUGGACUCACCAUUAUCUAACCAUUAUGGUGGAACUCAUAGGCUAUGACUCUAAAGAGCUGUUAGUAGCCCUGUCUCUUGCUAGCCUGCAGUGAAAGAAACACAGUGAAAAGAAAGAAGUGUGCAGAAAAUGAAGUAAAGCCAAUCCAAAUGAAGGAAGCCAUGGCCACGGACAGGGGGUUCCAGGAAUGGUUGAAAUUCUGGUUCAAGUAGUCCCCCAAAACACGCCUGCAUCACAGCCUCCAUGACUUACCAUAUCUGAUCAAGUUUAAGAUGCCAUCAGAGUUCCUCUUCCUAUUAUGGCUCACUGGUAAUGAACCCAACUAGUAUCCAUGAGGAUGAGGGUUCUCUCCCUGGCCUCACUCAGUGGGUUAAGGAUCCGAGUUGCCAUGAGCUAUGGUGUAGGGUCGCAGACACGGCUCAGAUCUGAUGUUCCUGUGGCUAUGGCAUAGGCUGGCAGCUGUAGCUCUGAUUCAGCCUCUAGCCUGAGAAUCUCCAUAUGCCACAGCUGUCACCUUAAAAAGCAAAAAGUUAAAAUUAAAAAAUAAAAAAAGACACCACCAAUUACAGGAUGCACUACUAUGUUAUCUAUUUCAAUACUAUGUAUUAAAUACAUUUGCAAUGAAGAUUAGCAUGCUAGACUAGCAUGUUAGACAUUUUAUUUCAGAGACAUUUUUUUAAAUUGUAAUGCAAGUUCUAGAAUCAAUGAGAUUGAGCAGUUAUUCAACUCUCCCUUGGAGUCUAAGCAAAUUCAAGUUGGCUUGCUAUGACUUCCAAUCACAAGAAUAACUAAUAUAUUAUGGACUUACAUAUGUGAAUAAGAUGCAGAGAGAAGUUCCGACCUGGGAAUAGGAUAAUGUGAAAAACACACAGCAGUAAGUCUUUCUAAAGGAAAAAAUUGUUUCAUGCAAGAAUUAUAAAGAGCAUAAAUUACCCUGAAAGUAAUCGAGAGUGCCAGUGUCCUCAUUUGCUCCAGUAUUACUUGGAAGCACUCCAGUGACCCAUCCUGAGGUGAAGAACUAAAUGGCAGUAACAACAGUUUCAAGCAAGCCAAUUAAGGUGUUUCUCUACAAUUAUCCAACAUAAACACCAGUUUGGAUAUUGGUUAAUAUACAUGAGCACCUUCUCAAGAAUUAGAAACUCCCCAGAAUCCAUCCUCCUAAUAUAAUUAAAUCAUAUUCUAACAAUUAGUGAUGAAAAAAAUGAUUCAAACUAAACAAACAAACAACUCUAAAACUCUUCAAAUAAGCAAACUUUUUUUUUUUUUUGGUAAAAAAAACAGUUUGGAACCUCAGGUUUACCAGUGUCAGGACAGGGAAAGGGCUCUAUCUGAAAGGCUACAGAGAUUUGCCAACUGUGAAAGCUGGUAGUCCCACCAAAAAGAAUUGAGUGAGCAAAGCAAGAAUUCAUUCUCCCAGGUUCAAGUGUCCUAUAGCUCACUUUUAUUUUAAAUGUGGCUUCUGGGCUCGCUUCUGCCGUAGCAUGAGCCGCAAGCCCACAGAGCCUGCCAGAUGGCAGUGGGAAGCCCAUUAGCUAUGCAUCACACAUCCUGAUCAAAACUGAAAGAAAUUAUGCUCAGAUUGAGGAGAGAUGCUCAAGAGUAAGGCAUUGAUUAGAAUUUUCUGUAUUUCAACAGAGGAUUUCACAUCAUCAUUGUCCAUAAAUAAACUCAUUCUUAUGAUCUGCGGUCCCAAUUCUGGGAUCACUUCCAAAGGAACUCCUCUCGUGGUUUGGGUCAAAACAUGCACGUUUCUGUGAUAUUCAUUAGAGAAUGCCACGGAGCUGAUGCCCUUUCAAGGUUAUCUUGAAAAGUCUCAGAAUCAGAGAGUAAGAUAAUACAUCAAAUGUUGUGCUUUUCAGAGGCACUCUCUUCUUUAAUAGGUACUGGGGAGGAAGGAGAAGAAUUCAGUUACAAAGGAAGCUUAUUAGAAUCUUUGAGAGAACAGGCUUAAUGAAAAUAAAUGGGAAAUGCCGAGUAUAAGUAUUGCUGAGGAGAAAGAUGCUAAGGAGUACUUUGAAAGGGGCUGAGGGACCCAAAGUGUAUAGGAUAACAUUAACUGACUGUAAAGUUUAUCUGGGAAACAAAAUAGAAGAUCCUAUUGGUUGCCCAACAAAAUCACGAGAGAUUGUAUUGUAAUCAUAUGUUACCAGUUUUUGCUAAGUAGAAGAUAUUUAUAUAAUAACACAUGCAGAAGUUCCCAGGCCAGGGACCAACCCCAAGCCACCAGAAGUGACUUGAGGCACACUCGAGUAACAAUGCCAGAUCCUUAACCACUAGGCCACCAGGGAACUCCAUGAAUAACAAUUUCUAGUCCUCAGUUUCCCCAUUUAUAAAAUAAGAAUAAAAAUAUCUGUUUUUUCCCCACUACCAGGAUGUUGUGAAGAAAAAUAUCAGACAUUUCAAAGGGAGGAAAGUUCUGUCUCAGAUAAAGGGGGGGAGGGGAUCUUCCUGCCCUAUCUCCAAAUUUUCUGAAAAAGCUAGACUAAAUUAACAGACAUUCACCGAGCAUCUAUUUUAACCCCAAAUCAGCUCCAAGGGAUACUUUGAAGACUUCAAUAAUAGAAACAGAGAAAAUAGUGCUGGAGUCCAGGAUGAACCUGGCCCCGGCUGGUUGUGAGAGAUACAACUGUACACUCCAUACUCUCAUGAGGCUUACAGUCUAGUGUUCAGGGGAGCCCAGGAGCUGCGGUGUCCAAGUCUGGAUCUGCAUCAGCUUCCUAAGAUCACAACCCCCCAGAUCCAGUGAACUGGAGCAUCUGGAAUGAAGAGGGAUGUGACUGGUGAAAAGGCAAAUGGAUGACGUCACUGCACUUCUCAUUCAAACUUGCAUCAGUGUGGCUCUGCCCUUAUUUGUGUUCAGCAAGGUUUUGGUUGAAGAGAUAAUUCAGCAUCUAAAGCAAAAUAAAAUAAACCUUUGAUUUUGAGAAAACGUAAGUCUAAUGGAUUUCCUCAUAGACUGGAAAUUAUUUCCAGACUUUCAUUCAUUCAUCCAUCAUUCAUUCACUCAACAAACAUUUUUUGUAUGCUUCUUCUGAUACCAGGGUCUCAGCAGUGAACGGGGUCUUAGCUCUCAGAAAGUUAUCACCAACCUAACUGGACAUCCAGGCGCUCAGCUUUUGAUUUUUCAGGUUUUGUUCUUUAGCUGAAACAGACGUUCUUCCCAUACCACCACACAUUCCUCCACACCCUACCCCCUUUCUGCCAUCCUUUCUUCCCUCCAGAAAGUCACUUCUACUUCUUCAAAAGCACAGAUUUUAACGCUUGUUCAUCUGAAAUAUAUUAGUCUGCAUAUUUCUGCCACUGAUUCGGAACAAGACAACGCAGUAAAAUAAGUACAUCUAUAACGUGUGCUUGUUUCUUGCUUCAUUUUCCUCUGUUUUAUAUUCAGGAUGACAUGUGGGAAAUAUGUCUUGGAGCAGGAUGUUUACAUGUGCAUAUCUUGGGUAGAUAUGAUUUGAUGGGCAGUGUAGACAUAAUCAAUCAACCAAUAUUCAGCAGACAUUCCUGACCAUAGAAAACAGCAUCCUCAUUCUCAAGAAGCAGAUCAAGCUUCCUGUGAUGGACAACUCAGUAAAAGUAACAGAGGCCCACCCUUGCCCUUCAGUAAUGUGAGGAGAGGAAGGAUUUUAAAGGUAGCAGGCAAAUGAUCUCCUCUUACACUCCAAAGCUGAAAUAACGACUGCCUCGUAUUGAAGAAUUUCACAUUAGGUAGAGGGUGUAUGUGUGUGUGAGCGAGAGAGAGGGGGAUGCAAAAACAGGACUAGUGGGUACCUAGAGGGAUAAACCUGUCACUGAUCCUGGUGAAUAUCUCACCAGCUUUGCACAGGAUGAAAAUAAAUUCAACUCAGGAUGAAACCAAUCAAAGGGAAAAUGGGAAGGUAGCCCUCUGAGCAUUCUCUUCUCCUUUGUUCCUCCUGCUCCCCCUCCAGUGGGCUUUCUCAUCACUGUCACUUCAUUAUCGCCACUCCCAUCUUUCUGCUCCCAGAAUGUCAUUACCCAGAGCCUCACUCUUUGUCCCACCUCCUCACUAAGGUAUGAGGAAGCAGCAUUCUAUCCAGCCCCCUCCUUCAUUCAUCAGCAGGGUGGAUCCAACUUCUCCUUGAUGGGUGGACCUCUCUUCCUCUCUGCUCCAGAAUGUCCCUCCUAAAGCCAGCCAGGAUAGAGUCCUGCUCUAUCCUCCCCAGCAGGACUGUUGUCCAUGUAAAGACUCUACUGGCCUCCCCAACCACACACCAAGCUCUUGCUAUUAUGCUUUCUCCACUACUAGAUUGAGGCUCUCUGAUUCAGACUCUAUGACAUUGCUGGUAAAUUUUAACAGAUCAAGUAAAUUAUUCCAUGCUAAUCAGCUAAUGGGAAAAAAAGCCAUGGAGACGCUAAACACUCAUCUCAGGUGUCAUGUGAAUUAUUACAACUUCUCAGGACAACGUCCUGACCUUUGUUCUCUUGGCCCAAAGAAAUGACUCUAAGAGAAGGAAUUUUAAGCUAGGGUAAGAAAGACAGGUGAUAUAUUAGAACUGAAGGGUUUUUUACUCCAUACUAUUACCCAUAGGUCAUCCCCCAACACAAACUAGUUCAACAAAAAAAAAUUCAGUGACCGUCUUGUAAGCCCUCUUCUGCAAGGAGAGGAAAAAACUAAUAUAUACUUCAAGUAGCACUCAUGUUUUAUACAUUUUCUGCCAUAGUUUAAGUUGAAAAUGUUUUCAUACAACCAUAAAUGUGUAAGUAUUUCUUGGUACAUUUCUGGAAAAAAAAAAAAA